RNAcentral lists this ribosomal RNA (350 nucleotides) under Patescibacteria group bacterium. RNAcentral's name for it is "bacterial SSU rRNA". The stretch from base 1 to 308 matches the Rfam family "Bacterial small subunit ribosomal RNA", at positions 1069 to 1386 of the family's 1533-position model. The record is from RNAcentral.
GAACUGUUCCCUUCAGUGGGGUAACGAACGCAACCCCCGUUGCCUGUUGCCUAUAUGGUCAGGCGAGACUGCUCCCUCACGGGAGAGGAAGGUGGGGAUGACGCCAGAUCAGCAUGUCCCUCUGAUACCUUGGGCUGCACGCAUAAUACAAUGGUCGGUACAACGGGUUGCAAUGCCGUAAGGCGGAGCCAAUCCUUAUAAAACCGACCCCAGUACGGAUUGAGGUCUGCAAUCGACCUCAUGAAGCCGGAAUCGCUAGUAAUCCCGGGUCAGCCAAACCGGGGUGAAUACGUUCUCGAGUCUUGUACUCAUUCAGAAAUGUGCUUGGUAGUUAUUCAAUCCAGUCCGUU